AUACGGAGGAUCCGAGCGUUAUCCGGAUUUAUUGGGUUUAAAGGGAGCGUAGGUGGACAGUUAAGUCAGUUGUGAAAGUUUGCGGCUCAACCGUAAAAUUGCAGUUGAUACUGGCUGCCUUGAGUACAGUAGAGGUGGGCGGAAUUCGUGGUGUAGCGGUGAAAUGCUUAGAUAUCACGAAGAACUCCGAUUGCGAAGGCAGCUCACUGGACUGCAACUGACACUGAUGCUCGAAAGUGUGGGUAUCAAACAGGAUUAGAUACCCUGGUAGUCCACACAGUAAACGAUGAAUACUCGCUGUUUGCGAUAUACAGUAAGCGGCCAAGCGAAAGCAUUAAGUAUUCCACCUGGGGAGUACGCCGGCAACGGUGAAACUCAAAUGAAUUGGCGGGG
This 393-nucleotide ribosomal RNA is filed under the name uncultured bacterium. RNAcentral's name for it is "partial 16S ribosomal RNA". It matches the Rfam family "Bacterial small subunit ribosomal RNA", at positions 523 to 918 of the family's 1533-position model. The record is from RNAcentral.